AGCACACAGUCGGGGCAGACUGUGUCUCUUAAGAAAGAGAAACAACAUGUGGACGGAGAGAAGGCUCUCUCUAGCCUCCGCGUUCCUUCCUCGCGUCAUGCAGGGAUGCGUCAGACAAACACCACUGGCCUGUGACAGUUCCCUCGUGCCCCCUUCCUCUCAUCAGAUUUAUUUGGACCGUAAUGAAGACGCGACGGGCCCCGGGCUGUAACCGACGGCGACAGGGUGACACUGAUGAAUGGCUGAAGGUGCGUUCUCUACAGCUGGAAGGAAAGGGAGGACUGUCAUUUCUGCAAUACUGCACUCGGAGUGUCUGUGCGAGUCUGCCUCGCAGACCUGUUAGAUCAAACAGUGGGAGAGUAAACAGGAUAUUUAUGGAACAUGUGUAACUAUUACUCACACAAAGGUUGCUACCGCUGCUUUGUUAUCACCUUUAUCUUUAUCAUCAUUACCAAAAUAAUGGGGCUGCAUCAACAAAUCUCAGAACAAAACGUCCUCGCAUUAAUAAUUACAAGUAACGACUUUAUCAUCGUUACAGUCCGACACAAUUAUUAGAUAAUCAUCACCCCCUCAGCAUUUACAUUUAGAAUUAUCAACACUAAUUUACAACGGUAUUGGCUUUAUCAUAUGUAUUUUAUCAUCUAGAUGUCAACAUAAUGUGCUGCGCUGUCCCCAUAGCAUUUACUUUUGUAUUUAUAUUCAUCAAUCUCAGUUUGAUUGGCAGGAUUUUAGCAAACAUAAUUAAGCUAUAACAAUUUGUUUACCUUUAGCAUUAGCACUAGCAUUGGUAUGAUAAACAUUCCAGCCUCCAUCAAUCAAAUGACCUCUUUUUUGAGCACUUAAUCAUCACCAUACCUUCAAAAUUCAAAAUUAGUUUCAUGAUGCUUCCACUCUAUUUGCUAAGAUAACUCAAGGUUCAAAGUUCAAGGUUUCUUAUUUGCCAUUUGUGCAUGAUAAGAAACCUUAUCAUGCAGGCUCAUGGGCAUUUUUGAGCAGGGUUCUCUCGGUCAACAGUUAAGGGACAAAAUUGACACAAUGUCAAAAAUAUAUAAGAUAUGAAUAAGUACUAGACAAGAUGGUGGAAUAUAAACACAAACUUAAUUCUUGAAGUAGAAAAGUGGAUUCAGAAAUUUAUAUUGAAGAGAUAGCUAAAUAUCUAGCUAGCAAGAUAGCGUGUCUUUCUUGCAGUUCAAAACAUUGAAGAGGUCGAGGUCCCGAUUAAAGUAUUUGUUGAUAUCUGGGACUCGUUGCUGUAGUCAACUCCUGAUGCCUGUUGUUGGUCUACUUUCUGUGAUUUUAUGUUGCCACGUUCCCUCACAAUCCAUGCAGUUGAUUUUAGCACUGAAAACAUUGGCACAUUAGUUUGUAAACUUAUCAAAUCUGGAUUUUUCAGUGAUAUUUGUUUUUAGCUGUUUAGCAUUGUGCUAACAGUGGCAUCUGUUCCAACAGAUACCAACGUACUGCUGAGAUGCACACUUCAAACCAAAACUUUUGUUUAAGCUGUUUUCAAUGUCACAAGCCAAAUGAUCAACUAGUCCUAUCAAAAACAAAUUAAACAUCCAAAUGUUAGCAUAGCACUUUAGGAAACUGCUCCAUAUCAAAAUAUGAAAAUCUGAAAUUUUGUUAUUGGACUGCACUUUAAAGCUUCUCCAUCAUACACACAGCACUGAUCAUAUUAACUUUAGCAUUGAAUUAUUAUAAACAAACACCUCAUCUGAACUCACAGAGUCGGUACAGAGCAAAAAAAUAAAUGUAAUUAAAAACACCCCUUUUUAACAAAAAUAAUUAAAUAAAUAAAUAAUAGUGAGCAAAGUAAAAAGGUUUUAAUUUUGUUGUCUUCUGUUUGUAAGACUUCUAGCAAAAACCAUAUUCAAACCUUAAUUUUAAUAUAGCUCUUCUGGGAACAUUGAGAUGCGGAGUAUUUGAAGUCAUAAUAUGAAGCUAUUAAAAUGUUAAUAAGCUAUUAGUUCAACACAUAUUUCAUAUUAUAUUUCCUGCACUGUUGAGUAAAUGUUACAUUUUGUCUGUUUUUAUUUCAAACUUUUGUUCACUUUGUCAUAAAUAACUACUUUGUACCAUCUGUAUGUUUCUUUUAAGUACCCCAAGUCUUGACAAACACACAAAAUUUCCAUCUUGUCACAUAAAAGGGUCAGUGUAACUGUACUGAAACCUGCUGUACAAUAUAUGAAUAAAACAUUGCUUUAACCAUUUAAUAAAAGUUGAUCCUUUUCAUUCAG
Poecilia latipinna (sailfin molly) is the source of this 2237-nucleotide long non-coding RNA. RefSeq lists it as uncharacterized. Lineage: Eukaryota; Metazoa; Chordata; Actinopteri; Cyprinodontiformes; Poeciliidae. The record is from RefSeq and is a predicted model, not a curated record. The transcript has 3 exons.